This 482-nucleotide long non-coding RNA is filed under the name Cyanistes caeruleus (blue tit). RNAcentral's name for it is "lncRNA (ENSCCEG00000020447.1)". The record is from RNAcentral. Lineage: Eukaryota; Metazoa; Chordata; Aves; Passeriformes; Paridae.
CCCUUCAGAGGCAGUUCAUACCAAGGCUGCUCUCUGACAACAGGUGCUGCUGUUGCAUAAAGAAAAACCCCUCCCAAGAGAAGAAUGGCCGGGGUAGAAUAGAAGGAUGACCUCCAAUGGAGCCCAGCACAAUCCUUGAAAUAAUCUGUCAGCAUUUUUCUCUUCCCACCAAGAAUCUCUGGGGAGAAGGCAGGGGGUCACUGAGAGGCACUCUCCUGCCUGCCCUCCAGAAACACUUGAGGGCCAGGUGUCUCCUGCCAAGUAAGUGGGGGAGAGAAGUAUAGCUCAAAGAGAUAUUUACUUUCCUGUUGAAUGAACAAUGUUGAAUGAGCAAGAUCAGUCUACAAGGAUGAAAACGCAGCCCUGUCCUGCUAAAACAAAUAGAUAAGAAAUUAGCUCUUCAAAAGUUUUUCAACCUCCAGGAGAAGCAAUGGAGCUUAAUUCCUUCUGUCACUCACUCCCCUCUCAGGAGGGGACAUUUU